CCCGUCUUGCCGGGGUGCCCGCGAGGGCUGAGAGGCGCGUCAGCGCCAACCCGACGAACCUGAUCCGGGUCAUGCCGGCGGAGGGAGCGCGAGACGACGCCUC
This 103-nucleotide non-coding RNA is filed under the name Inquilinus limosus. Its description in RNAcentral is "TPP sequence". It matches the Rfam family "TPP riboswitch aptamer (THI element)". From Rfam's summary of the family: Vitamin B(1) in its active form thiamin pyrophosphate (TPP) is an essential coenzyme that is synthesised by coupling of pyrimidine and thiazole moieties in bacteria. Lineage: Bacteria; Pseudomonadati; Pseudomonadota; Alphaproteobacteria; Rhodospirillales; Rhodospirillaceae. The record is from RNAcentral.